GGAGUAAUGGAUUAUUCUUAUCCUGCUAAGUUAAAGAAUCUGCAGUUUAACUCUGUGGUACUCUU
Molecule: transfer RNA, 65 nt
Filed under: Ophiocten ludwigi
Lineage: Eukaryota; Metazoa; Echinodermata; Ophiuroidea; Amphilepidida; Ophiuridae
Description: tRNA-Ser
Source: RNAcentral